GGCGGCAUGCCUUACACAUGCAAGUCGAACGGCAGCGCGGGAGCAAUCCUGGCGGCGAGUGGCGAACGGGUGAGUAAUACAUCGGAACGUGCCCAAUCGUGGGGGAUAACGCAGCGAAAGCUGUGCUAAUACCGCAUACGAUCUACGGAUGAAAGCAGGGGACCCGCAAGGGCCUUGCGCGAAUGGAGCGGCCGAUGGCAGAUUAGGUAGUUGGUGGGGUAAAGGCUCACCAAGCCGACGAUCUGUAGCUGGUCUGAGAGGACGACCAGCCACACUGGGACUGAGACACGGCCCAGACUCCUACGGGAGGCAGCAGUGGGGAAUUUUGGACAAUGGGCGCAAGCCUGAUCCANCCAUGCCGCGUGCAGGAUGAAGGCCUUCGGGUUGUAAACUGCUUUUGUACGGAACGAAAAGUCUCCUUUUAAUAAAGGGGGAUCAUGACGGUACCGUAAGAAUAAGCACCGGCUAACUACGUGCCAGCAGCCGCGGUAAUACGUAGGGUGCGAGCGUUAAUCGGAAUUACUGGGCGUAAAGCGUGCGCAGGCGGUUAUGU
RNAcentral lists this ribosomal RNA (553 nucleotides) under uncultured beta proteobacterium. Its description in RNAcentral is "bacterial SSU rRNA". It matches the Rfam family "Bacterial small subunit ribosomal RNA", at positions 38 to 584 of the family's 1533-position model. Lineage: Bacteria; Pseudomonadati; Pseudomonadota; Betaproteobacteria. The record is from RNAcentral.